RNAcentral lists this ribosomal RNA (492 nucleotides) under Triticum aestivum (bread wheat). Its description in RNAcentral is "partial small subunit ribosomal RNA". The record is from RNAcentral. Lineage: Eukaryota; Viridiplantae; Streptophyta; Magnoliopsida; Poales; Poaceae.
CAAGAGGUGGCCGCCUGGGACUCCCUCCUCCAGGACAUCGCUCUUCUACCGCUUGACAUGGAGGGUGCUCCUGACUCCCUAUCUUGGCGGUUGGAGCCCACCGGCCGCUUCUCCACAAAAUCCUUAUACUCGGCCAUCGCCCCCUCGUCGGCCCCUGAGCCCUUUAGCCUGGUUUGGGACAUCCGACUCCCACUGAAGAUCCAGAUCUUCAUGUGGCAGUGGAUUAGGGGACACCUCCCUUCUGGGGUGGAGGUCCUCAAGUGUAAUGGCCCGGGAAAUGGGAUAUGCCCCCUUUGCGGCACGGUGGAGGAUGCUAACCACAUCUUCUUCUCCUGCUCUACGACCCAAUUCCUGUGGUCUUGCUUCCGUGAGACGGUCGGUGGACGUUGGUGUAAUACCAAUUUCCCAGACUUGUUGGCAGAAACCCACGCCUCCGCCCCCCUUGAUGUAAUACUAAUUGCCCUAUUAUUAAUAAUCCAUUUACUAACCUAA